GACGAACGCUGGCGGCGUGCUUAACACAUGCAAGUCGAGCGGAAAGGCCACUUCGGUGGUACUCGAGCGGCGAACGGGUGAGUAACACGUGAGUAAUCUGCCCCUGGCUUUGGGAUAGCCACCGGAAACGGUGAUUAAUACCGGAUACGACCACUUCUCGCAUGGGAUGGUGGUGGAAAGUUUUUUCGGCCAGGGAUGUGCUCGCGGCCUUUGAGCUUGAUGGUGAGGUAAUGGCUCACCAUGGCUUCGACGGGUAGCCGGCCUGAGAGGGUGAACGGGCACACUGGGACUGAGACACGGCACAGACUCCUACGGGAGGCAGCGGGGGGGAAUAUUGGACAACGGGCGGAAGUCUGUGCCGGCAGCGCCGCGUGAGGGGUGACGGGCUUCGGGUUGUAACCCUCUUUCAGCAGGGACGAAGCGCAAGUGACGGUACCUGCAGAAGAAGCACCGGCCAACUACGUGCCAGCAGCCGCCGUAA
This 481-nucleotide ribosomal RNA is filed under the name uncultured bacterium. Its description in RNAcentral is "partial 16S ribosomal RNA". It matches the Rfam family "Bacterial small subunit ribosomal RNA", at positions 28 to 523 of the family's 1533-position model. The record is from RNAcentral.